RNAcentral lists this ribosomal RNA (147 nucleotides) under uncultured bacterium. RNAcentral describes it as "partial 16S ribosomal RNA". It matches the Rfam family "Bacterial small subunit ribosomal RNA", at positions 209 to 353 of the family's 1533-position model. The record is from RNAcentral.
AGCAAUCCGCUUUGAGAUGGCCUCGCGUCCGAUUAGCUAGUUGGUGAGGUAAUGGCCCACCAAGGCGACGAUCGGUAGCCGGACUGAGAGGUUGAACGGCCACAUUGGGACUGAGACACGGCCCAGACUCCUACGGGAGGCAGCAUG